This 73-nucleotide transfer RNA is filed under the name Tetradesmus obliquus. Its description in RNAcentral is "tRNA-Ala". It matches the Rfam family "tRNA". Rfam says of the family: Transfer RNA (tRNA) molecules are approximately 80 nucleotides in length. Their secondary structure includes four short double-helical elements and three loops (D, anti-codon, and T loops). Lineage: Eukaryota; Viridiplantae; Chlorophyta; Chlorophyceae; Sphaeropleales; Scenedesmaceae. The record is from RNAcentral.
GGGAAUUUAGCUCAGUUGGUAGAGCAUCUGUUUUGCAAGCAAAAGGUCUUGGGUUCAACUCCCAAAAUUUCCA